GAGGACCAGUAGAGUGGCCCCCCCGGAUGAACCAGGGGAGUCCGCAGCCUCUGGGCCAGCUGCCGCCCCAUAGUGGUGCAUCUGUGGGUGGAGGAACCAGGUGGCCCCUGCUGCCUCCCUCGCUGCUGCCUCUCUGCCUCUCUCGCUGCCGCCAGCUGGGUAGAGCAGCAAGCCAGGGCCAUCAGAGCCACCUGCGCAGGAUGCUGGAGACAACUGCUUCCGGGGAGCUCUCGAAUUCGGGGAGGACUGAGAACUCCUGGCAGUCCUUCUGUCCCAAUUCAGCAGACUUCUUCGAGCAAGAACGAGAGGACUCCAGGAAUGACUGUGUCCAGAAAUAGCCCACAGCCACCGCGAGGCCCAGAGCAACCCUGGCCAAAACAUAAAACCCCAGAAGAAGAGUUCCAUCAGUGCCAACAAGAUGUGGAGCGUCUUGCCCAGCUGGAGGCACACCGCCAUCUAGCAGGAGAUCAUCUAUCUAUCUAUCUAUCUAUCUAUCUAUCUAUCUAUCUAUCUAUCUAUCUUAUACCCUACCCAAACUUACGUCUGCAUGCAGUGGGCACAGCUCUGCAAGCUGGUUGCCGAACUUGGCAAAGAAGAGGAGCUGCUCAAGUGGGGAGAGAGAGCAGCGAGAGGCAUAGCACCCACUGGAGGAAUAGGAGCACCUUUACCCCAAGCAGCAUGAACAGGAGCCAGAGAUGCUUCUGCCUCGACAGCAACAGCCAGCCGAGGUUACCCCUGAGGGCUCCGUUGUCUUCACCCCAGGAGAGGAUCCCCAUGUGGUUCUCACCCCCUUUGAACGGGCUGAGCAGAACCAGGAUCUCCAGGAGGGCAAGUCCGUGAGUGGUCUGGUCAAUGGGGAUCUGGCCAAGGGCUGCAGUAGCAGGCCAGAAGGAGGGGAUGUCACUGGUGUCAUGGCUGA
Molecule: long non-coding RNA, 919 nt
Organism: Hemicordylus capensis (graceful crag lizard)
Lineage: Eukaryota; Metazoa; Chordata; Lepidosauria; Squamata; Cordylidae
Exons: 3
Source: RefSeq, a predicted model, not a curated record